CCUACGGGAGGCAGCAGUGAGGAAUAUUGGUCAAUGGGCGGGAGCCUGAACCAGCCAAGUCGCGUGAGGGACGACGGUCCUACGGAUUGUAAACCUCUUUUGUCGGGGAACAAAGGCGCCCACGUGUGGGCGGAUGAGUGUAACCCAAGAAAACACCUCGGCUAACUCCGUGCCAACAGCCGCGGUAAUAAGGAGGAUGCGAGCGUUAUCCGGAUUUUGUGGGUUUAAAGGGUGCGUAGGCGGGCUUUUAAGGCAGCGGUAAAAAUUCGGGGCUCAACCCCGUCCGGCCGUUGAAACUGGGGGCCUUGAGUGGACGAGAAGAAGGCGGAAUGCGUGGUGUAGCGGUGAAAUGCAUAGAUAUCACGCAGAACCCCGAUUGCGAAGGCAGCCUUCCGGCGCCCUACUGACGCUGAAGCACGAAAGUGCGGGGAUCGAACAGGAUUAGAUACCCGAGUAGUC
This 459-nucleotide ribosomal RNA is filed under the name uncultured bacterium. RNAcentral describes it as "partial 16S ribosomal RNA". It matches the Rfam family "Bacterial small subunit ribosomal RNA", at positions 338 to 795 of the family's 1533-position model. The record is from RNAcentral.